Molecule: long non-coding RNA, 468 nt
Organism: Hippocampus zosterae (dwarf seahorse)
Lineage: Eukaryota; Metazoa; Chordata; Actinopteri; Syngnathiformes; Syngnathidae
Exons: 2
Source: RefSeq, a predicted model, not a curated record
CCUCGGAGGAGGAGAGAAUUACGUGCGCGGCUCAUUUGAGAGACAACACUACCUCGGAGGAGGAGAGUAUCAUGGAGGAGGACUUGGAAAACUUCUUGCGAUCAAGAAAUGUCGCUCAGGUGGACAUUACGCGCAUGAAAAGCGACAAGGUUGACAUGGAGGUAAUUUCUCUGAUGACUGAAGAGCAAAUGGGCAAAUGUAUCACUUCCUAUGGUGAUCGAAUAGCUGUCCUUUGCUUUUGUCAACAAAAAAUGUCCAGGGGUGAUAAUGAAAUGCUCCUCCAAAGAUUGAGAGACAAAAUAAGAUCGAGGAAAAAAGGUGUACUGGGUGGAUCUCCAAGUGUGCUCCAAAACCUUGAUGAGAGAAUGGCAAGAUUUAAAAAUUUUAUUGGCUCUGUUGUUCAUUUGCACUUUUGAGAUGUAAAACAUCUGGCAUAGUUAACCACGUGAAGGGCAGUCUGCAAUUGUU